AUGAAAUUGAUCUGCCCGUGCAGAAGCGGACAUAAAUACAUAAGACGAGAAGACCCUAUGGAGCUUUAGACACCAGGCAGAUCACGUCAAGCAACCUUGAAUUAACAAGUAAAAACGCAAUGACCCCUAGCCCAUAUGUCUUUGGUUGGGGCGACCGCGGGGGAAAAUUAAGCCCCCAUGUGGACUGGGGGCACUGCCCCCACAGCCGAGAGCUACGGCUCUAAGCACCAGAAUAUCUGACCAAAAAUGAUCCGGCAAACGCCGAUCAACGGACCGAGUUACCCUAGGGAUAA
This 293-nucleotide ribosomal RNA is filed under the name Oncorhynchus mykiss (rainbow trout). RNAcentral's name for it is "partial 16S ribosomal RNA". The record is from RNAcentral. Lineage: Eukaryota; Metazoa; Chordata; Actinopteri; Salmoniformes; Salmonidae.